Molecule: ribosomal RNA, 36 nt
Filed under: Hyphoderma setigerum
Lineage: Eukaryota; Fungi; Basidiomycota; Agaricomycetes; Polyporales; Hyphodermataceae
Description: partial 28S ribosomal RNA
Source: RNAcentral
GUUUGACCUCAAAUCAGGUAGGAUUACCCGCUGAAC